CUCGCCGCCGGGGGAGGGGGGCGCCCGCCGCGGGCCGUGGCCUUGCCCCAAGGUGGGCGCGCUGACGACAGUUGAUUUCCUGGGAGGAAGGGAAGACGCGGGGAUGCGGGGAGACUGCAAAGGAGGAAGGGAAAGGGAGCUGUGGAGGUUUUGCCUGCACUGGAGGAAGAGGAAGGAAACGUAGAAGGAGGAAGCGGCCGGGGCGAGGGGCUGCCGAACAAAUGGGGGAACCUGCGUCCACUGUUAGGGCGCCAGAUUAGGGGGCUGAAUCUGAGCAGACGAGAUCCUGCCGUGGAAUUCCCUUCCGAGAUCUUCCUCAUGAGCCCCGCCCCGGAUUCCCAGCGAGGUUCAGAGCUGGCCCAGACCAACUUCCAACCCGUCCACUUCACACAUGGGAAAACUGGAGCUCUGGAAGAGAAAUGACUCCUACAAGGUCAUGCCCGCCACAGAUCCAGGCGCGGGACCCGGAUGCUCGGCCUCCCAUCUGUGUUCCUGUCUCCAGGCAGAGCCGCGACUCCCUCCUUCCCGCGGAGCAGUGAAACAAGCUAGAUGUCAGCGGGCAACGAGGACCACCCUGGGAAGAGAUUCAGAGCUUCCCUGGGCCCCGGAGGGAGUCAGUUCCUGGAAGGUUCUAAUUGCCAGUGAGCCCUGGAUAGCCAUGCCAAUCAGUGACUUCAAGGCAACUCCCUCUAUCCGGUGCUCAAAUAAACGAAACCCUGGAGUUCACUUCACAGCCCUGCCGGAAGCCCAGAAAGCUUAUUCUGUGCUUACAGCUUCAAAAAAUAUCUGCGAACUGGAUGAAAGGCAAGCCUGUUCUUGGAAGGUUUGAGUGGGACUUUUUUUCCUCAGAAAGUUGUAAAUGUGAGCAACCAGGGGACCCACCAAUUACUGUGUCAGGGGGUUAAAAUGUGCAGCAGCCAUUGCCAGGAAGGCACUCCAAGGUUGGAGGCUGUUUCCUUGUAUUUCUAUACUGCUGAUGUCCUCACCUCAGCACAUCAUAAAAGCACUUUCUCACUGGUUUAUUAGAUCUUCUUGUUAGGAGAAAUUAUAGUCCAUCGUUUACAUUUGAGGUAAAAAGUCAGGUAAAAUGACUUACCCAACACAAAAUAAGCAACAGAGCAAGCACCUGAACCCACCUCCCCCCAGCCAGGUCACCUGACUAAUCCCAUGAUUUUUCCACCCAACAAGGAGGCCCUGACCUCCUAAUUUCUGUUAAUGAAUGUUGAGAGUACACCGUGAGUUAGUAAUUCAUGAAACCUCCAAAACUUGGUUCUUUGGGGAUUUGGUGGGAUUCUUUUUGACCAAGAAUUAAACAGACGCAGAAACACAUUUCUGCACUUACCAUUUAUCGAGCAUCUUCUUAGUGCGAAGUCUUUGAAUCCAGACAUUCUUGAGUCCAAAUUACUCCAUCUCUCUUGCUCUCAGUUUCUCAUCUACUCAUACAAAAAUAUGAAAAUAGUAGUAGAGGUAAGGUCAAGGGUACCUAUUCUGUGCAAUAAUGAAGUAUUUUUGUCUUUGCAACUAAUGUAGUUUGAAAUGGAAACAUGAGCUCUUAAAGAGAUUUUAUUCUGGGUCUUUAAAAAGAUCAUUCUAUUACACCACAAUUCACUUACUCUGUUCUCAACAUUUCAGCAAACCCACGUUCUGAGUGCUACUGUUUAACAUGAAAAACUCCUGGUAUCACACAAACUAAGAAUAGAUUCACCCGUUCCCCAAUGGACAUAAUGGGACUUGACCAGUGCUUCUUUUUUUUUCUUCCCCAGUAACCCACUUAUAAAGAAUAAUAGGGUUCUAUUGAGGAUUAAUAAGAUUUAAUAAUGUAUAAUUAGCAUUCAUUUCCUUCAUCAUACACAUUGUAAGAGUGCAGUGUUAGAUCAAGAAAUGCUCCUAAUUAUGUUGAAACUGUCGUAUGAGUGUGUUGGGGAAGAUCACUGUGUCUCUCCUCCUGAAAUAUUUAUGAAUUGCUCAGGUGGGCCUAGAGUGAGCACAAGCAUUAUAUAAAGUUAAUCACAAAAGAUAAUUUCUACUCAGGUGGCACUCACCAGGAGUGUAAGAGGCAAAGUCAUAAAUUGGAUGCUUGGCGAACAGCAUGCAGUGUUGUCAUCAGUGCAAACCCAAAUCAAAAGCCUUCUCAUUUGCUGAUCUGGUUUCUUUUGUAUUCACACUUUUCUCAACAACCCUAUUAAAACCUGCUGAGUGCAGGGACUUGGGAAAGAAGGGAAGGCUGUGUAAAUCUGCAGACUCAGUGCUAGAGAAAUACAGGUUUACCAAUUCAGAGACUAAAAGAAGCACGGAGUUUCAGGUGGGGCGGAGGGCAUGUGACUGAAGGAUUGAGAGUGAUGACACCAAAGACUGAACGCUAGGCUGUGUUCCCACCAUUUGCUUGCAUCCAUGACAAUCGCUUUCCCCAAGGCCUUUGUGUAGCUCUUGUCAGCCCUUUCUCUGUCCUCAUAUAUGCCUGGCAAUAUUCUAAGGAUUUUUAUCUGCAUUUCACUGAACCCUCAGAAAACCCUUCUGAGGUUGGCAUUAUUAUUUUCUCUAGCCCAAGGAGGUUAAGUAGCAUGCUCUUAACACAGAGCUAGUACCCGGUUAAACUGAGACGCCCCACUGAGCCCAGGCAGCCUGACUCUUCCCUUACCCACUGCUGAGUGGCCAUCUGGUCUCAGAUUGAACAUUCCAAUGUGCAGAACUCAUAAUCUGCCAUGGCUGUCCAAGAGGAAAAGAUAUGAAGAGGCUACUGGAGAAAUAAUAAGAACAGGGACAUUGAAGAUGGAAGGCAGAGGAAGAUGCAGAAGGUAAAAGGCCUGGGCAUUUAAUUAAAAUCGGAUAACUUCCUCAAGAGAUGAAGACUGGAUGUAGGCAGACCAGUGGGAAGGGAGAGGAAGAAUCAACAGGGCCUGGCCACUUGGAAACAGAAGCAGGAUGGACAUGGGGAGGCAAAGGAGAGGAAGCAGCCAUUGGCAACACCUGGGACUUACGAUCAAAUGUUAUCCAGUGAGUGAGUGAAUGCAAGAAUCCUUCAUCUCGGCUAGAAAAACAACACAGUUGAUCGUCUCUCUGGAAGACUGGUCAUGUUAUCUUAGACCAUGACUCUGGGCAGAUGACUCAUCUGGGAGUGAAGUCACGACUACACUCCUGGGACUCCAUCUCUAGAGAGAAGAGCUAAUCAUAAUGCUUUCUUCCCUGCUUUCUUGUGGGGAGUCCUCUGAAGUCAAAGACCCAAGCCCAGUCAUCUUUUUACCCAACAUCUGUCUAACAUCUUGCAGGCCUUCAGGGAAUGUUAUGUAUGAGACUUUCUGGACUCAGCUUCUCCUUCUCUAAACAAAGAGUGGGAUCUAAAUUGCUAAUAUCGGGCUUCCCUGGUGGCGCAGUGGUUAAGAAUCCACCUGCCAGUGCAGGGGACAUGGGUUCGAGCCCUGGUCUGGGAAGAUCCCACGUGUCGCGGAGCAACUAAACCCCUGCGCCACAACUACUGAGCCUGCACUCUAGAGCCCGAGAGCCACGACUACUGAGCCCACGUGCCACAACUACUGAAGCCCGUGCACCUAGAGCCCGUGCUCCACAACAAGAGAAGCCACCGCAAUGAGAAGCCCGCGCACCGCAACGAAGAGUAGCCCCUGCUCACCGCGACUAGGAAAAGCCCGUGCACAGCAAUGAGGACCCCAACGCAGCCACAAAUACAUAAUAAAUUAAUUAAUUAGUUUUAAAAAAUUAUAAAAAAAUAAAUUGCUAAUAUCCUUUUCAGCUGCAAGGGUCUGUGAUUUAAAGAUCGAGGUCUUCACUUCGCUCAUCUUUAACCAGAUGGUUGACUCACCUCAAAUCCUCUGAAACUUGGACAUUUCAGCUGGAUGAGAAGCUGAAGGAUGAGCUGGUCCUUUCAGGUCCGGAGAGAGAGGAGUUUUUGCAGGGACCUGAACUGUGAUGUCCUUGGCUGAUGUGUACUUGGAGGUAAUAACACCUUGUGUUUAUGGAGCCUCUUGUUUCUGAGGCGCUCAAAGGGCUUCCCAUACAUUAUCUCACUCUUCCUCAUGAUCAUACCCUGGCAUACCCAGUGCCAAUGGGUUAAGUGGUUUUCCCAUAACCCUCUGACGGCAGAGUCAGGACCAGAACUCAGGUCGCCAGACCUGUUAUUGCAUCCUACCGCUUUCAGGAUCGAUGCUCUGCCUCAUGGAGAAGGGACAAUUUUCCAUCACUGUUGUAAGGGCUUGGGACAGCUGCUGGAGCCGCUGGGGAGAAAAUGCUCUUCUCUCCUCUCCUGCUCCAGCCUCAUGAAGUUGAUAAUGUAUGAACUGAUUCUAAUUUGAGCACGGGUGAAUCAUCCUCUGGAAGAAUGAAUCAGGGACAUCUACUGAUGCCAGAGUGCAAUAUGGGGGGCCAUUGGAAGCCUGAGUGGUCUCCCAGGUUCGGUGGGUACUGUGCUUCAGUAAUACGAUAUCAGAAACCUUAGCUGGACCAUCCAUUUCACUCCUUGAUUAUUUCCUACAUGAUAAAAUGACAUUGCGGAAGCUGGGAAAAAGGAAUGGAUUUAUAGUCAGGAGGUCUGAGUUUCAUUCAAGUAUUAAUAUGUAUUCUGGUGCCAUGUGCUACUGGGAAAAGUACUUAAUCUCUCUGUUCUUCAAUUUCCCCAUUGAUGAAAAUGGGUAAUACCUGCCUCAUCAAUUUGUUAUAAAGAACAAAUAAGAGACAUUGUAAGCCAGUCGUGGUUUUCCAAACAUUUGGGAUACUUGGUAGUUCCAGGGAAUACUCUAAGCCACAGUGAUAUCAACUUCAGCCAAGAUUUGGGGGAAAUUAAUUUUAUAUUAAAAUAAGGACACAUUUAUGGUACAGUAGCAAGCUAAAAUUGAAUACAUUUUAAAGAUAAAUUUUAUUUUGCUCCAGAGAUGGAGGAGGG
This is a non-coding RNA of Kogia breviceps (pygmy sperm whale), 4891 nucleotides long. The record is from RefSeq and is a predicted model, not a curated record. NCBI's taxonomy places the organism in Eukaryota, Metazoa, Chordata, Mammalia, Artiodactyla, Physeteridae.